UACGUAGGGGGCUAGCGUUGUCCGGAUUUAUUGGGCGUAAAGAGCGUGUAGGCGGCCAGGUAGGUCUGCCGUGAAAACUCGAGGCUCAACCUCGAGACGUCGGCGGAAACCAUCUGGCUAGAGUCCGGAAGAGGAGAGUGGAAUUCCUGGUGUAGCGGUGAAAUGCGCAGAUAUCAGGAAGAACACCCGUGGCGAAGGCGGCUCUCUGGGACGGUACUGACGCUGAGACGCGAAAGCGUGGGGAGCGAUCCGG
RNAcentral lists this ribosomal RNA (253 nucleotides) under uncultured bacterium. RNAcentral describes it as "partial 16S ribosomal RNA". It matches the Rfam family "Bacterial small subunit ribosomal RNA", at positions 524 to 776 of the family's 1533-position model. The record is from RNAcentral.